Molecule: ribosomal RNA, 253 nt
Filed under: uncultured bacterium
Lineage: Bacteria
Description: partial 16S ribosomal RNA
Rfam family: Bacterial small subunit ribosomal RNA
Source: RNAcentral
UACGUAGGGUCCGAGCGUUGUCCGGAGUUACUGGGCGUAAAGCGCGCGCAGGCGGCGGUGCUGGCCCGGCGUGAAAGCCCCCGGCUCAACCGGGGAGAGUCGUCGGGGACCGCACCGCUUGAGGGCGGUAGGGGCCGGUGGAAUGCCUGGUGUAGUGGUGAAAUGCGUAGAGAUCAGGCAGAACACCUGGGGCGAAGGCGGCCGGCUGGGCCGUCCCUGACGCUGAGGCGCGAAGGCGUGGGGAGCGAACGGG